Molecule: ribosomal RNA, 253 nt
Filed under: uncultured bacterium
Lineage: Bacteria
Description: partial 16S ribosomal RNA
Rfam family: Bacterial small subunit ribosomal RNA
Source: RNAcentral
UACGUAGGGCGCAAGCGUUGUCCGGAAUUAUUGGGCGUAAAGAGCUCGUAGGCGGUUUGUCGCGUCUGCUGUGAAAUCCCGAGGCUCAACCUCGGGCUUGCAGUGGGUACGGGCAGACUAGAGUGCGGUAGGGGAGACUGGAAUUCCUGGUGUAGCGGUGGAAUGCGCAGAUAUCAGGAGGAACACCGAUGGCGAGGGCAGGUCUCUGGGCCGCAACUGACGCUGAGGAGCGAAAGCAUGGGGAGCGAACAGG